Molecule: ribosomal RNA, 442 nt
Filed under: uncultured bacterium
Lineage: Bacteria
Description: partial 16S ribosomal RNA
Rfam family: Bacterial small subunit ribosomal RNA
Source: RNAcentral
CCUACGGGAGGCAGCAGUGGGGAAUAUUGGGCAAUGGGCGCAAGCCUGACCCAGCAACGCCGCGUGAAGGAAGAAGGCUUUCGGGUUGUAAACUUCUUUUAAGGGGGAAGAGCAGAAGACGGUACCCCUUGAAUAAGCCACGACUAACUACGUGCCAGCAGCCGCGGUAAGACGUAGGUGGCAAGCGUUGUCCGUAUUUACUGGGUGUAAAGGGCGUGCAGCCGGAGAGACAAGUCAGAUGUGAAAUCCACGGGCUCAACCCGUGAACUGCAUUUGAAACUGUUUCCCUUGAGUGGCGGAGAGGUAAUCGGAAUUCCUUGUGUAGCGGUGAAAUGCGUAGAUAUAAGGAAGAACACCAGUGGCGAAGGCGGAUUACUGGACGAUAACUGACGGUGAGGCGCGAAGGCGUGGGGAGCAAACAGGAUUAGAUACCCGAGUAGUC